AUUGAACGCUGGCGGAAUGCUUUACACAUGCAAGUCGAACGGCAGCACGGGGGCAGCCCUGGUGGCGAGUGGCGAACGGGUGAGUAAUACAUCGGAACGUGCCCGGUCGUGGGGGAUAACGUAGCGAAAGUUACGCUAAUACCGCAUACGAUCUGAGGAUGAAAGCGGGGGACCUUCGGGCCUCGCGCGUUGGGAGCGGCCGAUGUCAGAUUAGGUAGUUGGUGGGGUAAAGGCCUACCAAGCCGACGAUCUGUAGCUGGUCUGAGAGGACGACCAGCCACACUGGGACUGAGACACGGCCCAGACUCCUACGGGAGGCAGCAGUGGGGAAUUUUGGACAAUGGGCGCAAGCCUGAUCCAGCCAUUCCGCGUGCAGGACGAAGGCCUUCGGGUUGUAAACUGCUUUUGUACGGAACGAAAAGGCUCUGGCUAAUACCUGGGGCUCAUGACGGUACCGUAAGAAUAAGCACCGGCUAACUACGUG
RNAcentral lists this ribosomal RNA (484 nucleotides) under uncultured bacterium. Its description in RNAcentral is "partial 16S ribosomal RNA". It matches the Rfam family "Bacterial small subunit ribosomal RNA", at positions 30 to 507 of the family's 1533-position model. The record is from RNAcentral.